GGAGAAAACAUUGAUUUGUGAGAAGCAAGUUUGCAUGCUGAGUUAUGCUGCUGGCUCCACACCCUGCUGAGUAAUACACUGCCACUGGCUCACCCAAGAAAGGCAGUGGCACGAGGGAACACAAAAAAACAUGCCAUAAUCCCUUUUUCUGCAUUAUGUGAUCUAAAAAGUCUCUUUCAACUCAAAUUUCUUUGAAUGAACACAACCAAAUCUUGCUCUUCAUCCUGAGUGCAUGCCUCUCCCACAUGGAACACUGGAUAGCCGUCUCAUGGGAUCCCACCAGAUUGCUCUCUCUUUACUGAGCUCUACAUCUCUUAUCUACCUCAAGUAAAUGUAGACUGGUCAACUUUCUGAGGCCUUUUUUGAGUGAGAUAAGAAGAGAGAGAAGGGCAGAAAGUUUAUCCCUCCAGCUUUGCCCUGAAUUCCCUCCAGGCAGGAUGUCUGUCCCCUCUGCACAUUGGAACAAUUUGAGUUGAAAAGGCUGAAGUAUCCCUUGUUGUGCAGCUAGUGUCAAGGCUGACAUAACAUACAGUAUAGGGAUUAUCUUGAUGUUUCCUAGUGACUAAUAUGCCUUUUUGAUGUAAAACAGAUUAGUCUGAUUUCAUUUCCCACCUUCAUUACAACGGCUGUCCAACCCGCACCACAGCACCCCUUCCUGCAUGGCGUCUGAAAUCCUUGCUGAAGUAAUUACAUACAUCAGUGACUGGAUCAAAUUUGCUAUUCCUAUGAUUCACCUGUAACAAUUAUCUUUGCCAGCACUUUUUUUUUUUAGUGGAUAGACCAUUUGAAGCAUUACCUAGGCCAUGCAGAUAAAGAAUACCUGUCAUCUUUAAGUUACUAUCAAAAGGAUAGUGUUGAUAAUAUAAAGAUUAUAGAUAUAUCUUUGUGGAUUAGGGCUUAAUAGGAAAAAGCUCACAGAAUUCCUCAUUUGUUCCAUCCCCAGUCAUGCAAGGCACUAAGCAAAACCGUAUCUUGCGGAAAUUGCUGCACACAGGAAAAACCGCAGACAAUUUAGAAAGCUUUGGCACACAGCUCAGUUCAGUGUCUGAAAGGGAAUGGGAUAGGCUUAGUGGGGCUGAAGAGGAAGCAGAAGAGCUAUGGCAAGCUCAUGGUCUAAAAAGAGACAGGGAAUUAACAUGUUUUAGAGCACAUCUACCAGUGCUUCCCAAGACAAUUGGCUACAGCUUUAAUAGUCAAAUGUGAUUGUCACUGAGACGUCCAGUGCUUUGAAGCAAGUGCUUACCUUCGAUCAAAAAUAUGUAUAUACUCAUGAUUUUUGUGUUACACUUUGUGUGUCUGAAUCUAGAAGAAAGGUAGAGCCGGUGUCCAGGGCAG
This 1335-nucleotide long non-coding RNA is filed under the name Parus major (Great Tit). RNAcentral describes it as "lncRNA (ENSPMJG00000008723.1)". Lineage: Eukaryota; Metazoa; Chordata; Aves; Passeriformes; Paridae. The record is from RNAcentral.